UCUCGCUUAGCUCAGUCGGUUAGAGCAUCUGACUGUUAAUCAGAGGGUCGCUGGUUCAAGUCCAGCAGCGAGAG
This 74-nucleotide transfer RNA is filed under the name Chitinophagales bacterium. RNAcentral describes it as "tRNA-Asn". It matches the Rfam family "tRNA". From Rfam's summary of the family: Transfer RNA (tRNA) molecules are approximately 80 nucleotides in length. Their secondary structure includes four short double-helical elements and three loops (D, anti-codon, and T loops). Further hydrogen bonds mediate the characteristic L-shaped molecular structure. tRNAs have two regions of fundamental functional importance: the anti-codon, which is responsible for specific mRNA codon recognition, and the 3' end, to which the tRNAs corresponding amino acid is attached (by aminoacyl-tRNA synthetases). tRNAs cope with the degeneracy of the genetic code in two manners: having more than one tRNA (with a specific anti-codon) for a particular amino acid; and 'wobble' base-pairing, i.e. permitting non-standard base-pairing at the 3rd anti-codon position. The record is from RNAcentral. Lineage: Bacteria; Pseudomonadati; Bacteroidota; Chitinophagia; Chitinophagales.